Molecule: ribosomal RNA, 229 nt
Filed under: uncultured bacterium
Lineage: Bacteria
Description: partial 16S ribosomal RNA
Rfam family: Bacterial small subunit ribosomal RNA
Source: RNAcentral
CAUGUAGGCGGCUUAUCAAGCGCUUUGUGAAACCCCUCGGCUCAACCGAGGAAUUGCUUGGCGAACUGAUAGGCUUGAGGCAGGCAGGGGCAAGUGGAACUCUUGGUGGAGCGGUGGAAUGCGUAGAUAUCAAGAGGAACGCCAGAGGCGAAGGCGACUUGCUGGGCCUGAUCUGACGCUGAGAUGCGAAAGCCAGGGGAGCGAACAGGAUUAGAUACCCUGGUAGUCC